RNAcentral lists this ribosomal RNA (249 nucleotides) under uncultured bacterium. Its description in RNAcentral is "partial 16S ribosomal RNA". It matches the Rfam family "Bacterial small subunit ribosomal RNA", at positions 57 to 305 of the family's 1533-position model. The record is from RNAcentral.
GCAAGUCGAGGGGUAGCAGGGAGCUUGCUCCGCUGACGACCGGCGCACGGGUGCGUAACGCGUAUAGAACCUACCUUUUACAGGGGAAUAGCCCAGAGAAAUUUGGAUUAAUGCCCCAUGGUAUUAUUGAAUGGCAUCAUUUAAUAAUUAAACAUUUAUGGGUAAAAGAUGGCUAUGCGUUCUAUUAGCUAGAUGGUAAGGUAACGGCUUACCAUGGCGACGAUAGAUAGGGGUCCUGAGAGGGAGAUC